RNAcentral lists this ribosomal RNA (988 nucleotides) under uncultured eukaryote. RNAcentral describes it as "bacterial SSU rRNA". It matches the Rfam family "Bacterial small subunit ribosomal RNA", at positions 67 to 1143 of the family's 1533-position model. The record is from RNAcentral.
CGAAAAAUAAUUUUUCGUGGCGUACGGGUGAGUAAUACACAGGAAUCUGCCUUUUAGUUCAGGAUAAAAUUCUGAAUAACAAAAGAAAACUUUUCGCUAAAAGAUGAGCCUGUGUAGGAUUAGGUAGUUGGUAUUUGGGUAAAGGCCUACUAAGCCUAUGAUCCUUAGCUGUUCUGAGAGGUUGUACAGCCACACUGGGACUGAGACAAGGCCCAGGCUUCAUUUGGAGCCAGCAGUGAGGAAUUUUGGACAAUGAGCGAAAGCUUGAUCCAGCAAUACUACAUGAGUGAUGAAGGCUUUCAAGUUGUAAAACUCUUUGGUUGAGGAGGAUAAUGACAGUACUCAACAAAAUAGCCCCGGCUAACUUCGUGCCAGCAGCCGCGGUAAUACGAAGGGGGCGAGCGUUAUCCGGAAUGACUGGGCGUAAAGGGUCCGUAGGCAGCAUUUUUUGUUAGAGGUUAAAUAAAAAAGCUUAACUUUUUUCCGCUUCUAAAACGUAAAUGCUUUGAGUUUGAUAGGAGAUAGCAGAAUUUCACAUGGAGGGGUGAUAUCCGUAGAUAUGUGAAGGAAUACCAGAGGCGAAGGCGGCUAUCUAGAUCAAUACUGACGUUGAGGGACGAAAGCAUGGGGAGCAAACAGGAUUAGAUACCCUGGUAGUCCAUGCCCUAAAAGAUGAGUGCUCGUGCUUAGAUAUUUUUAGGCACUUAGUUAACACGUUAAGCACUCCGCCUGGGGAGUACGACCGCAAGGUUGGAACUCAAAGGAAUUGACGGGGGCCUAUACAAGUGGUGGAGCAUGUGGUUUAAUGCGACAAUACGCGCGAAACCUUACCAGUUCUUGACAUAAAAAAGAAAAAGUUUGAAAGGACAAUUUUGAAGAUUUUUACAGGUGCUGCAUGGCUGUCGUCAGCUCGUGUCGUGAGAUGUUAGUUAACUCCUUUUAACGGGCGAAACCCCUUUUCUUAGUUGCCACUUAAAUUUAAUUUUAA